UCCAAUAGAUCAUGGAGCCGCUCGAAUCGGGUCUCCUGGCACUGCACCACGUUGGUCAGCGCGGUCACCUGCGCUUGCAACCGAUCGAUCACGCUCGGUUCCUCCUGCUCGGGCACCUCAGGAAUCGGUGCUGGGGCAGAUCUACGCGUGUAGCGUCUUGGAGACAUUAGUCCCUGAAACGCAGAUACUCGGUCAGUUAUCUUAACUAAUUGCCUCGUCGCAAUUAUGUCACUUGACGACUCAACAACAAAAAAAUCGGGCGGAAGCACACAAGUGCACUCGUUCUAGACUCUUGGUAUCAUGUCAUCGGCCACCGACACAACCACCUCAAGACAAGAACUCCUACAACUUGAGUCCGUCUCUAAUCACAACUAGAGACACAUUACCAACUUCGACCCAAUCGAAAUAACUUCCGCCAUUGCUAUAGGUUCACGUUCCGCUCACGCACCUAUAACCUUAGGGCUUACCAACCUAUGGUCUCCUAGGUCAUCCUAGACUUUCUCUCUUUACUUGCUCUUAUUGCUCUGAUACCACAGCUGUCACGCCCCGCCCCAAAACCACUAUCAAUUUCGCACGUUUCGGCCGCGGCGGCGGACCGCCGAACGGACAGCACCUCCCCUGUCCG
This 625-nucleotide long non-coding RNA is filed under the name Ananas comosus (pineapple). Its description in RNAcentral is "long non-coding RNA (ACOM_LNC003248)". Lineage: Eukaryota; Viridiplantae; Streptophyta; Magnoliopsida; Poales; Bromeliaceae. The record is from RNAcentral.